UACGUAGGUGGCAAGCGUUGUCCGGAAUUAUUGGGCGUAAAGCGCGCGCAGGCGGUCCUUUAAGCCUGAUGUGAAAGCCCACGGCUCAACCGUGGAGGGUCAUUGGAAACUGGGGGACUUGAGUACAGAAGAGAAGAGUGGAAUUCCACGUGUAGCGGUGAAAUGCGUAGAGAUGUGGAGGAACACCAGUGGCGAAGGCGACUCUUUGGUCUGUAACUGACGCUGAGGCGCGAAAGCGUGGGGAGCAAACAGG
This 253-nucleotide ribosomal RNA is filed under the name uncultured bacterium. RNAcentral's name for it is "partial 16S ribosomal RNA". It matches the Rfam family "Bacterial small subunit ribosomal RNA", at positions 524 to 776 of the family's 1533-position model. The record is from RNAcentral.